Molecule: ribosomal RNA, 408 nt
Filed under: uncultured bacterium
Lineage: Bacteria
Description: bacterial SSU rRNA
Rfam family: Bacterial small subunit ribosomal RNA
Source: RNAcentral
AGCGAACGCUGGCGGCGUGCCUAACACAUGCAAGUCGCACGAGAAAGGGGGCCGCAAGGCCCCCGGUACAGUGGCGAACGGGUGAGUAACACGUGGGUAACCUGCCCUUGGGUCUGGAAUAACCUGCCGAAGGGCGGGCUAAUACCAGAUGACGACGCGGGGUCUUCGGACCUUGCGCCCAAAGCUGACCUCUUCUUGAAAGUUGGCGCCUGGGGAGGGGCUCGCGUCCCAUUAGCUAGUUGGUGAGGUAACGGCUCACCAAGGCUACGAUGGGUAGCCGGCCUGAGAGGGCGACCGGCCACAGUGGAACUGAGACACGCUCCACACUCCUACGGGAGGCAGCAGUGAGGAAUCUUGCGCAAUGGGCGAAAGCCUGACGCAGCGACGCCGCGUGGACGAUGAAGGCCU